RNAcentral lists this ribosomal RNA (467 nucleotides) under uncultured bacterium. RNAcentral's name for it is "partial 16S ribosomal RNA". It matches the Rfam family "Bacterial small subunit ribosomal RNA", at positions 29 to 507 of the family's 1533-position model. The record is from RNAcentral.
ACGAACGCUGGCGGCGUGCUUAACGCCUGCAAGUCGAACGGAAAGGCCCUGCUUUUGUGGGGUGCUCGAGUGGCGAACGGGUGAGUAACACGUGAGUAACCUGCCCUUGACUUUGGGAUAACUUCAGGAAACUGGGGCUAAUACCGGAUAGGAGCUCCUGCUGCAUGGUGGGGGUUGGAAAGUUUCGGCGGUUGGGGAUGGACUCGCGGCUUAUCAGCUUGUUGGUGGGGUAGUGGCUUACCAAGGCUUUGACGGGUAGCCGGCCUGAGAGGGUGACCGGCCACAUUGGGACUGAGAUACGGCCCAGACUCCUACGGGAGGCAGCAGUGGGGAAUAUUGCACAAUGGGCGGAAGCCUGAUGCAGCAACGCCGCGUGCGGGAUGACGGCCUUCGGGUUGUAAACCGCUUUCGCCUGUGACGAAGCGUGAGUGACGGUAAUGGGUAAAGAAGCACCGGCUAACUACGUG